UACGUAGGUGGCAAGCGUUGUCCGGAAUCAUUGGGCGUAAAGCGCGUGUAGGCGGUUUCGUAAGUCUGCUGUGAAAGUCGGAGGCUCAACCUUCGAAAGCCGGUGGAUACUGUGAGACUUGAGUACGGAAGAGGAGAGUGGAAUUCCUGGUGUAGCGGUGAAAUGCGUAGAUAUCGGGAGGAACACCAGUGGCGAAGGCGGCUAUCUGGGCUUUAACUGACGCUGAGGCGCGAAGGCUAGGGGAGCAAACAGG
Molecule: ribosomal RNA, 253 nt
Filed under: uncultured bacterium
Lineage: Bacteria
Description: partial 16S ribosomal RNA
Rfam family: Bacterial small subunit ribosomal RNA
Source: RNAcentral